CCUACGGGUGGCAGCAGUGGGGGAUAUUGCACAAUGGGGGGAACCCUGAUGCAGCGACGCCGCGUGGGUGAAGAAGCGCCUCGGCGCGUAAAGCCCUGUCAGCAGGGAAGAAAAUGACGGUACCUGAAGAAGAAGCCCCGGCUAACUACGUGCCAGCAGCCGCGGUAAUACGUAGGGGGCAAGCGUUAUCCGGAUUUACUGGGGUUAAAGGGGGCGCAGACGGCGAUGCAAGCCAGGAGUGAAAGCCCGGGGGCCAACCCCGGGACUGCUCUUGGAACUGCGUGGCUGGAGUGCAGGAGGGGCAGGCGGAAUUCCUGGUGUAGCGGUGAAAUGCGUAGAGAUCAGGAGGAACACCGGUGGCGAAGGCGGCCUGCUGGACUGCAACUGACGUUGAGGCCCGAAAGCGUGGGGAGCAAACAGGAUUAGAUACCCUAGUAGUC
This 440-nucleotide ribosomal RNA is filed under the name uncultured bacterium. RNAcentral describes it as "partial 16S ribosomal RNA". It matches the Rfam family "Bacterial small subunit ribosomal RNA", at positions 338 to 795 of the family's 1533-position model. The record is from RNAcentral.